This 522-nucleotide unclassified non-coding RNA is filed under the name Hevea brasiliensis (rubber tree). Lineage: Eukaryota; Viridiplantae; Streptophyta; Magnoliopsida; Malpighiales; Euphorbiaceae. The record is from RNAcentral.
UGUAAUAGGCUCCUUGCAUCACAUUGAGUACCUGUUAAAGUGUUAAUUACUCCCAAGUACAAUCAACCUGCAUCUUCGUAUGGUGAAAGCACACUCGAAUACAGGAACAUAUUUUCAUUAAUCACAUAUGCACAUCCUUGCAUAAAUAUCUAUGUAUAUUAUAUGUUUCAAUGAUUAACCCCAGCCCUGAGCAUCAACCCUAGUAACUUCGUCAAUCAGUUCCCUUCCAUGUCCCAGGGGCAGGGGUUAAAAUCCAGGAUUCAGAACACUGACCAACCAUGGGCUGACCAUAUAUUGGAAGAAUAUAAUAUGGCCACAAAGCUAACUUAGAUGUUAUCUGUGUGACUUCAGUUGAAUGACUGCAAAACUUCAGGACUUUUUUUUAAAAAAAAAAAAUCCCAUAUAUUAUUGGCUUAAAGGACUUGGUCUUCCGUCCUCAUUACUUUCAUAUUUAAUUAGUCAUUUUCAUUUCAUGUAUACCAUGGACAUUUUAACAAACUCCAUAAAAUAACUACGUAAAGA